UACGUAGGGGGCAAGCGUUGUCCGGAUUUAUUGGGCGUAAAGAGCGUGUAGGCGGCUAGAUAGGUCCGUUGUGAAAACUCGAGGCUCAACCUCGAGACGUCGAUGGAAACCAUCUAGCUAGAGUCCGGAAGAGGAGAGUGGAAUUCCUGGUGUAGCGGUGAAAUGCGCAGAUAUCAGGAAGAACACCAAUGGCGAAGGCAGCUCUCUGGGACGGUACUGACGCUGAGACGCGAAAGCGUGGGGAGCGAACAGG
This 253-nucleotide ribosomal RNA is filed under the name uncultured bacterium. Its description in RNAcentral is "partial 16S ribosomal RNA". It matches the Rfam family "Bacterial small subunit ribosomal RNA", at positions 524 to 776 of the family's 1533-position model. The record is from RNAcentral.